This 253-nucleotide ribosomal RNA is filed under the name uncultured bacterium. RNAcentral's name for it is "partial 16S ribosomal RNA". It matches the Rfam family "Bacterial small subunit ribosomal RNA", at positions 524 to 776 of the family's 1533-position model. The record is from RNAcentral.
GACAGAGGUCCCAAGCGUUAGGCGGAAUCACUGGGCUUAAAGCGUGUGUAGGCGGGCGGGCAAGUACCUUGUGAAAUCCCACGGCUCAACCGUGGAACUGCUGGGUAUACUGCCUGUCUUGAGCCAGCCAGGGGCAGUCGGAACAGACGGUGGAGCGGUGAAAUGCGUAGAUAUCGUCUGGAACGCCAAAGGUGAAAACAGACUGCUGGGGCUGUGCUGACGCUGAGACACGAAAGCCAGGGGAGCGAACGGG